AAUCUUCAAUCUAUUCCACUGUUGUCCAGGGAAGUAGAAUUACUGGCUUCAAUGUACUCCACUAUAACCACAGGGAGGUAAAAUUCGCCAUCUUCGAUCUGCUCCACUACUGCUUAGAGAGAUAAGACCUGAAAUCUUCAAUCUAUUCCACUGUUGUCCAGGGAAGUAGAAUUACUGACUUCAAUGUACUCCACUAUAACCAUAGGGAGGUAAAAUCCGCCAUCUUCGAUCUGCUCCACUACUGCUUAGGGAGAUAAGAUCUGAAAUCUUCAAUCUAUUCCACUGUUGUUCAGGGAAGUAGAAUUACUGGUUUCAAUUUACUGCACUAUAACCACAUGGAGGUAAAAUCCGUCAUUUUCGAUCUGCUCCACUACUACUUAGGGAGAUAAGAUUUGAAUUCUUCAAUCUAUUCCACUGUUGCCUAGGGAAGUAGAAUUACUGGCUUCAAUGUACUCCACUAUAACCACAGGGAGGUAAAAUCUGCCAUCUUCGAUCUGCUUCGCUGUCAAUGCAGGAAGGCAAGAUCUGCUAUCCUUAACCUGCUCCACUACAACCGAGGAAGGCAAGGCUUUGUUUUCGAUCUGCUUCGCUGUCGAUGUAGGAAGGCAAGAUCUGUUAUUUUC
This 623-nucleotide long non-coding RNA is filed under the name Gossypium barbadense (sea-island cotton). RNAcentral's name for it is "long non-coding RNA (GBAR_LNC015658)". The record is from RNAcentral. Lineage: Eukaryota; Viridiplantae; Streptophyta; Magnoliopsida; Malvales; Malvaceae.